This 233-nucleotide ribosomal RNA is filed under the name uncultured bacterium. RNAcentral describes it as "partial 16S ribosomal RNA". It matches the Rfam family "Bacterial small subunit ribosomal RNA", at positions 524 to 756 of the family's 1533-position model. The record is from RNAcentral.
UACGGAGGGUGCAAGCGUUGUCCGGAAUCAUUGGGCGUAAAGGGCGAGUAGGCGGAAAGGUAAGUCAGUAGUGAAAGUUCGGGGCUCAACCCCGAAUCUGCUAUUGAAACUGCUUUUCUUGAGUGUGAGAUGGGAAAGGUGGAAUUCCCGGUGUAGCGGUGAAAUGCGUAGAUAUCGGGAAGAACACCAGUAGCGAAGGCGCUUUCUGGCUCACAACUGCGCUAAAACCGCGA